This 670-nucleotide ribosomal RNA is filed under the name fungal endophyte. Its description in RNAcentral is "eukaryotic LSU rRNA". The stretch from base 180 to 333 matches the Rfam family "5.8S ribosomal RNA". The record is from RNAcentral. Lineage: Eukaryota; Fungi.
UUAAAGAGUUCUAUAACUCCCAAACCCAUGUGAACAUACCUAACGUUGCCUCGGCAGGUCGCACCUACCUUGUAGCACCCUACCCUGUAGGGCCUACCCGGGAGGUGCGGGUAAGCCUGCCGGCGGCCCACCAAACUCUGUUUGAUAUUGAAUUCUGAACAUAUAACUAAAUAAGUUAAAACUUUCAACAACGGAUCUCUUGGUUCUGGCAUCGAUGAAGAACGCAGCGAAAUGCGAUAAGUAAUGUGAAUUGCAGAAUUCAGUGAAUCAUCGAAUCUUUGAACGCAUAUUGCGCCCAUUAGUAUUCUAGUGGGCAGGACCGUUCGAGCGUCAUUUCGACCCUUAAGCCUUAGUUGCUUAGUGUUGGGAGCCUACGGCAACGUAGCUCCUCAAAGUUAGUGGCGGAGUUGGUUCACACUCUAGACGUAGUAAUUUUUUAUCUCGCCUAUUAGUUGGACUGAUCCCCUGCCGUAAAACCCCCAACUUAUCAAGGUUGACCUCGAAUCGGUUCAGACAAACUCGCUAAAUUGAAGCAUCUUAGUCAGCGAAGGAAAAGAAACCAACAGGGAUUGCCCUAGUAACGGCGAGUGAAGCGGCAACAGCUCAAAUUUGAAAUCUGGCCCUCGGGUCCGAGUUGUAAUUUGUAGAGGAUGCUUUUGGCGCGGUGCCU